RNAcentral lists this ribosomal RNA (253 nucleotides) under uncultured bacterium. RNAcentral's name for it is "partial 16S ribosomal RNA". It matches the Rfam family "Bacterial small subunit ribosomal RNA", at positions 524 to 776 of the family's 1533-position model. The record is from RNAcentral.
UACGGAGGGAGCUAGCGUUGUUCGGAAUUACUGGGCGUAAAGCGCACGUAGGCGGCUUUGUAAGUUAGAGGUGAAAGCCCGGAGCUCAACUCCGGAACUGCCUUUAAGACUGCAUCGCUUGAAUCCAGGAGAGGUGAGUGGAAUUCCGAGUGUAGAGGUGAAAUUCGUAGAUAUUCGGAAGAACAUCAGUGGCGAAGGCGGCUCACUGGCCCGAUACUGACGCUGAGGCACGAAAGCGUGGGGAGCAAACAGG